Long non-coding RNA from Pipistrellus kuhlii (Kuhl's pipistrelle), 179 nucleotides. RefSeq lists it as uncharacterized. Lineage: Eukaryota; Metazoa; Chordata; Mammalia; Chiroptera; Vespertilionidae. The record is from RefSeq and is a predicted model, not a curated record. The transcript is spliced from 3 exons.
CUUUCGGGCAGCCGCAUCUUUCUCCCCAGGAUCUCACAGCUUUGGAUGUUACCAAAUUGACGCCACGUUCACAGGAAGUUCUCAGCAGACAAGCCACCAUAAAUAUCGACAGUUAAUAUCAAUACGAUUGCUCAUGUAGCUCCUGGGAAAUCCACAGUUGUAAAGCUGUUUCUGGGGUU